UCCUACGGGAGGCAGCAGUGGGGGAUAUUGCACAAUGGGGGGAACCCUGAUGCAGCGACGCCGCGUGGGUGAAGAAGCGCCUCGGCGCGUAAAGCCCUGUCAGCAGGGAAGAAAAUGACGGUACCUGAAGAAGAAGCCCUGGCUAACUACGUGCCAGCAGCCGCGGUAAUACGUAGGGGGCAAGCGUUAUCCGGAUUUACUGGGUGUAAAGGGAGCGUAGACGGCGGUGCAAGCCAGAUGUGAAAGCCCGGGGCUCAACCCCGGGACUGCAUUUGGAACUGUGCUGCUAGAGUGUCGGAGCGGCA
This 305-nucleotide ribosomal RNA is filed under the name uncultured bacterium. Its description in RNAcentral is "bacterial SSU rRNA". It matches the Rfam family "Bacterial small subunit ribosomal RNA", at positions 337 to 659 of the family's 1533-position model. The record is from RNAcentral.